UACGGAGGGGGUUAGCGUUGUUCGGAAUUACUGGGCGUAAAGCGCACGUAGGCGGAUUAGAAAGUUAGAGGUGAAAUCCCAGGGUCAACCCUGGAACUGCCUUUAAAACUCCUAGUCUUGAGUUCGAGAGAGGUGAGUGGAAUUCCAAGUGUAGAGGUGAAAUUCGUAGAUAUUUGGAGGAACACCAGUGGCGAAGGCGGCUCACUGGCUCGAUACUGACGCUGAGGUGCGAAAGUGU
RNAcentral lists this ribosomal RNA (238 nucleotides) under uncultured bacterium. Its description in RNAcentral is "partial 16S ribosomal RNA". It matches the Rfam family "Bacterial small subunit ribosomal RNA", at positions 524 to 762 of the family's 1533-position model. The record is from RNAcentral.